GGGACGGGUGAGUAACACGUGGAUAACCUACCUAUAAGACUGGGAUGACUUCGGGAAACCGGAGCUAAUACCGGAUAAUAUAUUGAACCGCAUGGUUCAAUAGUGAAAGACGGUUUUGCUGUCACUUAUAGAUGGAUCCGCGCCGCAUUAGCUAGUUGGUAAGGUAACGGCUUACCAAGGCAACGAUGCGUAGCCGACCUGAGAGGGUGAUCGGCCACACUGGAACUGAGACACGGUCCAG
Molecule: ribosomal RNA, 241 nt
Filed under: uncultured Staphylococcus sp.
Lineage: Bacteria; Bacillati; Bacillota; Bacilli; Caryophanales; Staphylococcaceae
Description: partial 16S ribosomal RNA
Rfam family: Bacterial small subunit ribosomal RNA
Source: RNAcentral